CCUACGGGAGGCAGCAGUGGGGAAUUUUGGACAAUGGGGGCAACCCUGAUCCAGCAAUGCCGCGUGUGUGAAGAAGGCCUUCGGGUUGUAAAGCACUUUUGUCCGGGGCGAAACGGCGUAGGCUAAUACCUUAUGCUAAUGACGGUACCGGAAGAAUAAGCACCGGCUAACUACGUGCCAGCAGCCGCGGUAAUACGUAGGGUGCGAGCGUUAAUCGGAAUUACUGGGCGUAAAGCGUGCGCAGGCGGUUUUGUAAGACAGGCGUGAAAUCCCCGGGCUUAACCUGGGAAUGGCGUUUGUGACUGCAAGGCUAGAGUGUGUCAGAGGGGGGUAGAAUUCCACGUGUAGCAGUGAAAUGCGUAGAGAUGUGGAGGAAUACCGAUGGCGAAGGCAGCCCCCUGGGAUAACACUGACGCUCAUGCACGAAAGCGUGGGGAGCAAACAGGAUUAGAUACCCUGGUAGUCCACGCCCUAAACGAUGCCGACUAGUUGUUGGGGAUUCAAUUCCUUAGUAACGAAGCUAACGCGUGAAGUCGGCCGCCUGGGGAGUACGGUCGCAAGAUUAAAACUCAAAUGAAUUGACGG
RNAcentral lists this ribosomal RNA (585 nucleotides) under uncultured bacterium. RNAcentral describes it as "bacterial SSU rRNA". It matches the Rfam family "Bacterial small subunit ribosomal RNA", at positions 338 to 916 of the family's 1533-position model. The record is from RNAcentral.